AGCAAGGGCACUCUGUGUUAUUCAUUCUAUAUGAUAAUUACAAUUUGUUACCUUGCUAGAACAAAUCUAUCACAUCCUAUUCCUGGCAGCUUGCAUCUCGCUGUUUGGUCAUCUUGAUAGAAACAUUAA
This is a small nucleolar RNA of Trichoplusia ni (cabbage looper), 129 nucleotides long. RefSeq annotates it as small nucleolar RNA psi18S-841/snoR66. The transcript has a single exon. The record is from RefSeq and is a predicted model, not a curated record. NCBI's taxonomy places the organism in Eukaryota, Metazoa, Arthropoda, Insecta, Lepidoptera, Noctuidae.